GCUAUGCAAGCCCUCUGGUCGAGGGGUGAGAAUACAUGCAUCGUGCACCCGGGGGUGAGUGGCAUAUCAGGCUAUGAUCUUGUAAUGGGAAGCUGGGAGUUUGUGUGGGCAGAAUAUGAUUUCCCACUAGAAAUAGAGAUCAGAGAUGUCCAAGUUCAUGUUAGAGGUGAUCUGGGGUACGUUACGUGCGUUGAAAUGGUCAAGACAAAGGGCAGCAGCUGGGGAAAACAGUUUGCUACUAAUGUGUUUGAGAAGGUUGAUGGACAAUGGUUCAUAUGUAUUCACCAUGCCUCUUAUAUUGACCUGUAAAUUGGGAACGAGAGAGCUGUUUUAGAGUGAGUGAGAAGAGUCUUAUCUUAUAUUAUCAUAGAUUUUGUAACCUAUUAUUAUUAAGUCAAACGAUAAAG
RNAcentral lists this unclassified non-coding RNA (407 nucleotides) under Hevea brasiliensis (rubber tree). The record is from RNAcentral. Lineage: Eukaryota; Viridiplantae; Streptophyta; Magnoliopsida; Malpighiales; Euphorbiaceae.